CGUGGUGAGCCGGGAGCCUCAGGAAGCCGAAGGAGCAAAACCUCACCUCUCCCCUCCCACGGCGCCGGGAGGAGCCGCCCCUUUCACCGCUGGAACAGCCCAAGCCGGGCGGAGUUUCCGUGAUGACCUGGAGGAGGAGAAAUCUCUUCCCGUGUGCUCAGAGUGAGGAAUAUCCCGAGGGAUUGUCCCUGCCCGAGGGGCUGCAGGGAUUAGCGGACACAAACGUUGAGGAUCUGGGUAAAUUCUGCUCUCAGGAGCUCCUGGAAUGUGUGUGUGCCUCCCUCCCUCCCUUGGGCCACGCUCCGCUCCGGAGGCUCCGAGGAGGUGAGGAACAGCCAGGAGUGGGAGCAGGAAUUGCCAGGCUGCACUAAGCUGCUUUCGCUGGCUUAGUUGGGAGUAAAACCUGGUUGUAAGAGCUGCCAAAAAUAACAUCCCUGUGGGGCUCUGGCCUUCCAGGCCCUGCUGCCUCCACACAGCUUCCAGUGCCCCACCUGGGGCUGGGGGAGCUCAGCUUUUCCAGGGAUUCAUGGAAGAAAUGAGGCCGGGCCCCUCUACCCUGUUUCCUUCUCAGUGUUGUACCCAUAGGCUGAGCAUUCCCUGAGGAGAACCUCUGAAAAUCAGAGGAUGAAUCCCAGCAUGGUUUGAGUUGGGGAGGACCUUAAAGCCUGUCCAGUGCCAUGGGCAGGGACACCUUCCACUGUGCCAGGGUGCUCCAAGCCCUGUCCAGCCUGGCCUUGGACACUUGCAGGGAUGCAGCAGAUCCUCACCUUAUCCAGAGCCUGGAAUCCAUGAGCUUGCAGGAAACGUGCAGUAACAAUUCCCAGCACUGAUAUUUUGGGGCAAACUCUUUGUGUUUUUAGUGCUGUGCAGUCAGGAGUGCUGAGCUGCUCCAAGGCAAAUCCAGGUUUCCAAAGGAAUGGAAUGAUUCUGGGAGGAGUGGAGAUGAUGCUGAGAGCCACGAGCAGCCCCUGGGAAACUCCUGAUCCUGCUGGAUUUGCCUUUGGGAACAAGGAGCUGGGAUCAGAGGCUGGAGCUGGGACUGUGCUCCCUCCCAGCUGUGAAACACAACCUGGCUGUGUUUUGGGGCAAACUCUUUGUGUUUUCAGUGCUCUGCAAUCAGAGGAGCUGCUCCAAGGCAAAUCCAGGUUUCCAAAGGAAUGGAAUGAUGCUGAGAGGAGUGGAGAUGAUGCUGAGAGCCACAAGGAGCCCCUGAUCCUGCUGGAUUUGCCUUUGGGAACAAGGAGCUGGGAUCAGAGGCUGGAGCUGGGACUGUGCUUCACCCAGCUGUGAAACACAGCCUGGCUGUGUUUUGGGGCAAACUCUGGGUUUUCAGUGCUCUGCAAUCAGAGGGGCUGCUCCAAGGCAAAUCCAGGUUUCCAAAGGAAUGGAAUCACCUCCCUUCUGGUGAUGAUUGGAGAUGAUGCUGAGA
This 1429-nucleotide long non-coding RNA is filed under the name Zonotrichia albicollis (white-throated sparrow). RNAcentral's name for it is "lncRNA (ENSZALG00000000333.1)". Lineage: Eukaryota; Metazoa; Chordata; Aves; Passeriformes; Passerellidae. The record is from RNAcentral.